AUGGCGGCGUUUGUACGGGGUGCAACCGCUGCGGUUGCAAGGCGUCCGAAGUAUGUGAGUCCACUAACAAAGUCCAGAAACUCGCCAGUUAAUAGUAUUGUGAAAUACUAAAAAAUUCUAAAACUUGUAUGGAACUACAAAAGACAUUAAAUAAUCAAAGUAAUCUUGAGCAACAAGGACACAGCUGGAGGCAUCACUCUACCUGAUUUUGUAAUCCAUUAUCAUCAAAAAAACUAUGGUACCAGCAUAUAAAAACAGAUUCACUGACUAGUGGAACAGCAUAGCCCAGACAUAACUCAUGCAUUUUCAUACCAUUGAUUUUUGACAAAAGUGGCACAAAGAAUGGGGAGAGGAUAGAUAGAUAGAUAGAUAGAUAGAUAGAUAGAUAAUUGUUUUGAGAUAUCUGUAUAUAUGUUUGAAAUUGGACCCUUUUCUCAUAGCAUAUGGAAAAAUCAAAAUGGAUUAAAGCCUGAAAUGUUGCCUUUGAAACUGUAAAACUACUAGUAGAAAAUAUAGGGGAAAAGCUCUGUGAUGAUGUUCUGGGCAAUGAUUUCUUGGAUACAUCCUUAAAAGCAUGGGUAGCAAAAACAGCCAGACAACUUGAGUUGCAUCAAACUAAAAAGCAUCUGCACUGCAAAGGGUACAGUUAACAGAGUGAAGACACGGGUUUUGAGAAACCAUUUUCAAAUCAUAUGUCUGAUAAGGGACUAAUAUCCAAUAUAUGUAAGAAACCCAAGCUCAAUAGCAAGAAACCAACUAUCUUUAGAAAAGGACCUCAACUUGUAUUUUUCAGAGGAAGACAUGAGUGGCCGAUUGAUACGUGAAAAAAAUGCUCAACAUCUCUAAUCAUUAGUGAGUUGCAAAUCAAAACUGCAAGAUAUUACCUUACACCUUUUAGAAUGGCUACAGUUUAAUAAAAUUAGAAAUAACACAGAGAUAGGAACUGUACAUACUUGUGCAAAUUUAAAAAGUGUUAUGCUUAGUGUGGUGGCUCACACCUGUAAUCCCAGCACUUUGGGAGGCCAAGGAGGGUGGAUCACUUGAAGUUAGGAGUUUAAGACCAGCCUGGCCAACAUGGUGAAACCCUGUCUCUACUAAAAAUACAGAAAAUUAGCAAGGCAUGGUGGUGUGUGCAUGUAGUCCCAGCUACUCCGGUGGCUGAGGCAUGAGAAUCACUUGAGCAUAGGAGGCGAGUGGCAGUGAGGUGAGAUCGCACCACUGCACUCCAGCCUGGGUGACAGGAAGACUCUGUCCCCCCAAAAAAAAAAAAAAAAAAAAAAA
Molecule: long non-coding RNA, 1281 nt
Filed under: Macaca mulatta (Rhesus monkey)
Lineage: Eukaryota; Metazoa; Chordata; Mammalia; Primates; Cercopithecidae
Description: lncRNA (ENSMMUG00000052802.1)
Rfam family: JPX transcript, XIST activator conserved region 1 (bases 1-103)
Source: RNAcentral